GUGUCAGCAGCCGCGGUAAUACGGAGGAUCCAAGCGUUAUCCGGAAUCAUUGGGUUUAAAGGGUCCGUAGGCGGGUUUAUAAGUCAGUGGUGAAAGCCCAUCGCUCAACGAUGGAACGGCCAUUGAUACUGUAGAUCUUGAAUUAUUAGGAAGUAACUAGAAUAUGUAGUGUAGCGGUGAAAUGCUUAGAGAUUACAUGGAAUACCAAUUGCGAAGGCAGGUUACUACUAAUGGAUUGACGCUGAUGGACGAAAGCGUGGGUAGCGAACAGGAUUAGAUACCCUGGUAGUCCACGCCGUAAACGAUGGAUACUAGCUGUUCGGAGCAAUCUGAGUGGCUAAGCGAAAGUGAUAAGUAUCCCGCCUGGGGAGUACGUUCGCAAGAAUGAAACUCAAAUGAAUUGACGGG
RNAcentral lists this ribosomal RNA (408 nucleotides) under uncultured bacterium. Its description in RNAcentral is "bacterial SSU rRNA". It matches the Rfam family "Bacterial small subunit ribosomal RNA", at positions 505 to 917 of the family's 1533-position model. The record is from RNAcentral.